This 429-nucleotide ribosomal RNA is filed under the name Chloroflexota bacterium. RNAcentral's name for it is "Chloroflexi bacterium partial 16S ribosomal RNA". It matches the Rfam family "Bacterial small subunit ribosomal RNA", at positions 355 to 776 of the family's 1533-position model. The record is from RNAcentral. Lineage: Bacteria; Bacillati; Chloroflexota.
UGGGGAAUAUUGCACAAUGGGCGCAAGCCUGAUGCAGCCAUGCCGCGUGUGUGAAGAAGGCCUUCGGGUUGUAAAGCACUUUCAGCGGGGAGGAAGGCGGUGAGGUUAAUAACCUCAUCGAUUGACGUUACCCGCAGAAGAAGCACCGGCUAACUCCGUGCCAGCAGCCGCGGUAAUACGGAGGGUGCAAGCGUUAAUCGGAAUUACUGGGCGUAAAGCGCACGCAGGCGGUCUGUCAAGUCGGAUGUGAAAUCCCCGGGCUCAACCUGGGAACUGCAUUCGGAACUGGCAGGCUAGAGUCUUGUAGAGGGGGGUAGAAUUCCAGGUGUAGCGGUGAAAUGCGUAGAGAUCUGGAGGAAUACCGGUGGCGAAGGCGGCCCCCUGGACAAAGACUGACGCUCAGGUGCGAAAGCGUGGGGAGCAAACAGG